GAGGGAGCUAGCGUUGUUCGGAAUUACUGGGCGUAAAGCGCACGUAGGCGGCUUUGUAAGUUAGAGGUGAAAGCCCGGGGCUCAACUCCGGAACUGCCUUUAAGACUGCAUCGCUUGAAUCCAGGAGAGGUGAGUGGAAUUCCGAGUGUAGCGGUGAAAUGCGUAGAUAUCUGGAGGAACACCGGUGGCGAAGGCGGCAUCCUGGACCGACACUGACGCUGAGGCGCGAAAGCGUGGGGAGCAAACAGG
RNAcentral lists this ribosomal RNA (249 nucleotides) under uncultured bacterium. Its description in RNAcentral is "partial 16S ribosomal RNA". It matches the Rfam family "Bacterial small subunit ribosomal RNA", at positions 528 to 776 of the family's 1533-position model. The record is from RNAcentral.